Molecule: unclassified non-coding RNA, 206 nt
Filed under: Hevea brasiliensis (rubber tree)
Lineage: Eukaryota; Viridiplantae; Streptophyta; Magnoliopsida; Malpighiales; Euphorbiaceae
Source: RNAcentral
AAAAAAAAAAUCCAUUUUGUCUUUUCUAUCUUUUUUUAAAUUAAUUUUACUUGCAAGUGAAACUGAGCAGUGAGUGAUAAUUGAUCUAUAUCAAAGAACAAAGGGGUUUAUGCAUGAAACUACAAUAAUUUGCCUUGUUUAGUUGUAGUAGGUGACCCUCAAGGGCAAUCUUUAAUUUGUAGGUCCAAAAAUCACUAUCAUCAAUU